Long non-coding RNA from Rattus norvegicus (Norway rat), 1040 nucleotides. NCBI's taxonomy places the organism in Eukaryota, Metazoa, Chordata, Mammalia, Rodentia, Muridae. The record is from Ensembl.
CUGUCCUUCAUUCUUUUGGUCUGUCUUACAAAACAGAAAAUAGCUGGGGACAAAAACCGUCUCACCCUCAGUUCUGUAGCUCCAGGCCACAGAUCUCUCCUCUCCGCGUGUCAAAGGAAGGACGUCCUCUAGUGUAUUCUGCAUCCACGCUGGCGCAGUUUGGGCAUCUACAGCGACAUUACAGCUGAAUGGAGUGAGCUGUAUAGAAAGAGACUCUAGGUGAGGAGCUGUCCUCGCUUCACCCUUUUGACACGGGACCUCUCUGUGGCCCUAGGAUCCAGGAGCCUUUCAUGCAGAAGCUGUUACUAUCUACUGAGUAAACAACCCAGCUGUUUUCCAGCCCGUAAGAAUACUCACCUGGAGAAUUUCAAGGAGCCAAAUGACCACCUGCUGUCACUUCCCAUUUGCUGUUAGACUGUCUCUAAUCUCUUAAAGGUUGCCAGCAGUUCAGUUCAGUAACAUCAGAAUACCAAACACAGACCAGCAACGGUGGCAUAAUCCAGCAGAAACCAUUAGGCCACCACUGAGUCAACAUUAGUCAGCAGGAGUGGCCAGCUGUGAUACCAGGAGAAAUUCUCUGCCAUGCCUCUCUCAAUGAAGUGAAGAUCAGUAAAGACAGGAGACAUUGCAAUGCUAGGUAUGCAAACCCCUGUCACUGUUCCUUGAGUCCUAUUUAUAUUCUCUCCAAACAUCACAUGUCCUCCUGUGCGUCUUGUCUCAGUAAAACACCAUGUGAGUCUGUAUCACAUGACACUACUAGAAACUUCUACUUCGAAGAAAUUUAUAAUUUAAAAUUGUUUACUGUUCUAAGUAGAAAAAUGAAAUUCUGUGUGUCCUUUCUCUUCCCAAACCAGGACAUAAAUAAUCUAUGUGUAAAGCAUGUCAUCACUGUAUGUUAUCUGCCUAGAAAUGAAUAAUCUUUGUGUAAAGUGUGUCAUCACUGUAUGUUAAUUGCCCAGGACAUGAAAAUCUAUGUGUAAAGUGGGUUCUUACUGUACACUAUCUGCCCACUUGUCACUUGGUAGCUUUCUUGGUUAUUU